UGAUGAUUGUUUAUGGUUAGAAUCUGUUC
RNAcentral lists this non-coding RNA (29 nucleotides) under Homo sapiens (human). Lineage: Eukaryota; Metazoa; Chordata; Mammalia; Primates; Hominidae. The record is from RNAcentral.